RNAcentral lists this ribosomal RNA (468 nucleotides) under uncultured bacterium. RNAcentral describes it as "partial 16S ribosomal RNA". It matches the Rfam family "Bacterial small subunit ribosomal RNA", at positions 28 to 507 of the family's 1533-position model. The record is from RNAcentral.
GACGAACGCUGGCGGCGUGCUUAACACAUGCAAGUCGAACGGAAAGGCCCUGCUUUUGUGGGGUGCUCGAGUGGCGAACGGGUGAGUAACACGUGAGUAACCUGCCCUUGACUUUGGGAUAACUUCAGGAAACUGGGGCUAAUACCGGAUAGGAGCUCCUGCUGCAUGGUGGGGGUUGGAAAGUUUCGGCGGUUGGGGAUGGACUCGCGGCUUAUCAGCUUGUUGGUGGGGUAGUGGCUUACCAAGGCUUUGACGGGUAGCCGGCCUGAGAGGGUGACCGGCCACAUUGGGACUGAGAUACGGCCCAGCCUCCUACGGGAGGCAGCAGUGGGGAAUAUUACACAGUGGGCGGAAGCCUGAUGCAGCAACGCCGCGUGCGGGAUGACGGCCUUCGGGUUGUGAACCGCUUUCGCCUGUGACGAAGCGUGAGUGACGGUAAUGGGUAAAGAAGCACCGGCUAACUACGUG